RNAcentral lists this small RNA (67 nucleotides) under Arabidopsis thaliana (thale cress). Its description in RNAcentral is "ATSL117660". Lineage: Eukaryota; Viridiplantae; Streptophyta; Magnoliopsida; Brassicales; Brassicaceae. The record is from RNAcentral.
UCAUCCAACCUAACCGUCCCUCCAUCGUUCUUCUCAAUAACUUCAACCUCCUUUACCACAAUGACAA